AUGGAUGAAGCUGCCAAACUGGCAACCACAACAUUUCUUUGUUUGAGUAAAGAAAACCACCUCAGAAGAUGACCUUUCCUCAACGUUUUUCUCAACUCCAAUAGAAAUCCAGAGAGAGGUAUUUGAGAAGGCAGAUUUUUCUGUGGAAGUUAGUUUCCUUCUUGAAUUUUCAAAUUGCAGCAACCUAAACUGAGUAUCUUGCAAAAAGUAAGAUUAAUCAACAGUUUGGUUGUUCCAAAGAAGCAUCUCCUGCCAAGGGCAAUAUGGCAGAAAGACAGAGGCAAGGAGUCAAAGGUUGUGACUGGAGUCUUGCGCCUUCCUGAAACUUCUGUUCCAGACAAACUGGUCUUCUGACUGUCCCAAGAAUAGGCCCAGUGAGAGUCAAAAAGUGCCCAGGAGACCAUAUCCACCUGGCCAGCUGCCACAGGCUCUUCAACCCUACCGAGGAUGGGAUCCAUCAUGCCUUCCUCCUCACUGUGGCCCAGGACUUAUUCCGCUACCUCUUCCUCCUGGUCCACCAGGGCGCAUUCCUCCUCCUCCUCCCUUUGGCCCAGGGCGCAUUCCAUUUCAACCCCUUCCACAGGGACCCAUUAAACAAGCUAAACCCUUUCCAGGUUACCCAGAACCACCUUUCCAACAAAGACCUUACCCUCCAGGACCUCCUCAGGUGCCAAAAGGCCAACUUCCCUUUAUUCCUUUUUGCCCUCCUUGCCCCACCCCUACAACCCUAUGUGAAACAACCACCACAGCUACAACCACAAGCACUACCGUUACAGAACCCACCACCAUACCACGAAAGAAACCACUACUUCCACAGAACUCACUACCACAACAGCAACCACCACCACUUGCACUGAACCUUCCACCACCCCAGCAGCCAUCACUUCCACUGAACCCACCACCACAGCACCCACCACCAGCACUUCCAUAGAACCCAUUGUCACCACAACAGAAGCCACCACUUCCUCAACAGCACCGACUUAUUCAGCAACAGAACCCAGCACCACCACAUCAACAGCAACCACCACUGCAGCAUCUACUGCAGCUACUACUCAAAUUACAACUACCACUAAUUCACCACUCCAGCAAAAAAUACAAUCACAACAAAACUACAUCAAAAAAAUAUAACUUUUAAGAGUUUUUGGAAUAAAUCCUUUGCCAUUUUUCAUAGGAAGAUAUGAGAAAUGAUAUUUUCCAAACCACUGUGAGCUCUUAGGAGAAAUGAACUUCAGUUAUUUCAAUGGAACCAACCGUGUAAUCAGUACACAAAACAAAUAAAGUAUUUGAGCAAUAACAUGCACCUAUUGCCAUGAUAACUGUCGUGAUAACUCCCACUCUAUCCUAUAUUUUAUUAC
Molecule: long non-coding RNA, 1355 nt
Filed under: Equus caballus (horse)
Lineage: Eukaryota; Metazoa; Chordata; Mammalia; Perissodactyla; Equidae
Description: lncRNA (ENSECAG00000060202.1)
Source: RNAcentral